CCUCCCUCUGGCGGCGUGCUUAACACAUGCAAGUCGAACGGAAAGGCCCUGCUUUUGUGGGGUGCUCGAGUGGCGAACGGGUGAGUAACACGUGAGUAACCUGCCCUUGACUUUGGGAUAACUUCAGGAAACUGGGGCUAAUACCGGAUAGGAGCUCCUGCUGCAUGGUGGGGGUUGGAAAGUUUCGGCGGUUGGGGAUGGACUCGCGGCUUAUCAGCUUGUUGGUGGGGUAGUGGCUUACCAAGGCUUUGACGGGUAGCCGGCCUGAGAGGGUGACCGGCCACAUUGGGACUGAGAUACGGCCCAGACUCCUACGGGAGGCAGCAGUGGGGAAUAUUGCACAAUGGGCGGAAGCCUGAUGCAGCAACGCCGCGUGCGGGAUGACGGCCUUCGGGUUGUAAACCGCUUUCGCCUGUGACGAAGCGUGAGUGACGGUAAUGGGUAAAGAAGCACCGGCUAACUACGUG
RNAcentral lists this ribosomal RNA (467 nucleotides) under uncultured bacterium. RNAcentral's name for it is "partial 16S ribosomal RNA". It matches the Rfam family "Bacterial small subunit ribosomal RNA", at positions 36 to 507 of the family's 1533-position model. The record is from RNAcentral.